This 375-nucleotide ribosomal RNA is filed under the name uncultured bacterium. RNAcentral describes it as "bacterial SSU rRNA". It matches the Rfam family "Bacterial small subunit ribosomal RNA", at positions 521 to 896 of the family's 1533-position model. The record is from RNAcentral.
UAAUACGUAGGCAGCAAGCGUUGUUCGGAGUUACUGGGCGUAAAGGGUGUGUAGGCGGUUCUCUAAGUCUGGUGUGAAAUCUCCCGGCUCAACUGGGAGGGUGCGCCGGAAACUGGAGGGCUAGAGUGCGGGAUGGGAAAGUGGAAUUCCUGGUGUAGCGGUGAAAUGCGUAGAUAUCAGGAGGAACACCUGUGGUGUAGACGGCUUUCUGGACCGCAACUGACGCUGAGACACGAAAGCGUGGGUAGCAAACAGGAUUAGAUACCCUGGUAGUCCACGCCCUAAACGAUGCAUAUUUGGUGUGGGUCAUUCAUUUGAUCCGUGCCGGAGCUAACGCGUUAAAUAUGCCGCCUGGGGAGUACGGUCGCAAGGCUG